UACGAAGGGGGCUAGCGUUGCUCGGAAUCACUGGGCGUAAAGCGCACGUAGGCGGAUCUUUAAGUCAGUGGUGAAAGCCCGGAGCUCAACUCCGGAACUGCCAUUGAAACUGUAAAACUUGAGGACGAGAGAGGUGAGUGGAAUUCCCAGUGUAGAGGUGAAAUUCGUAGAUAUUGGGAAGAACACCGGUGGCGAAGGCGGCUCACUGGCUCGUAUCUGACGCUCAGGCGCGACAGCGUGGGGAUCAAACAGG
RNAcentral lists this ribosomal RNA (253 nucleotides) under uncultured bacterium. Its description in RNAcentral is "partial 16S ribosomal RNA". It matches the Rfam family "Bacterial small subunit ribosomal RNA", at positions 524 to 776 of the family's 1533-position model. The record is from RNAcentral.